This 253-nucleotide ribosomal RNA is filed under the name uncultured bacterium. RNAcentral's name for it is "partial 16S ribosomal RNA". It matches the Rfam family "Bacterial small subunit ribosomal RNA", at positions 524 to 776 of the family's 1533-position model. The record is from RNAcentral.
UACGUAGGGGGCAAGCGUUGUCCGGAAUUAUUGGGCGUAAAGCGCGUGUAGGCGGCUUGGCAAGUCGGGUGUGAAAUCCCUCAGCUUAACUGAGGAAGUGCGCCCGAAACUGCUUUGCUUGAGUGCCGGAGAGGAUGGCGGAAUUCCCCAAGUAGAGGUGAAAUUCGUGGAUAUGGGGAGGAACACCGGUGGCGAAGGCGGCCAUCUGGACGGUAACUGACGCUGAGACGCGAAAGCGUGGGUAGCAAACAGG